RNAcentral lists this ribosomal RNA (225 nucleotides) under uncultured Glomeromycotina. RNAcentral describes it as "partial small subunit ribosomal RNA". The stretch from base 38 to 225 matches the Rfam family "Eukaryotic small subunit ribosomal RNA", at positions 684 to 875 of the family's 1831-position model. The record is from RNAcentral. Lineage: Eukaryota; Fungi; Glomeromycota.
GGGUUAGUAGGUUGGUUAUGCCUCUGGUAUGUACUGGUCUCACUGAUUCCUCCUUCCUGAUGAACCGUAAUGCCAUUAAUUUGGUGUUGCGGGAAAUUUGGACUGUUACUUUAAAAAUUAGAGUGUUUAAAGCAAGCUAACGCUUGAAUACAUUAGCAUAGAAUAAUGAAAUAGGACGUUUGAUCCUAUUUUGUUAGUUUCUAGGAUUGACGUAAUGAUUAAUAG